Cricetulus griseus (Chinese hamster) is the source of this 277-nucleotide unclassified non-coding RNA. Its record names the gene 7SK. It matches the Rfam family "7SK RNA". From Rfam's summary of the family: 7SK was discovered as an abundant small nuclear RNA in the mid-70s but a possible function has only recently been suggested. The record is from Ensembl. Lineage: Eukaryota; Metazoa; Chordata; Mammalia; Rodentia; Cricetidae.
UGUGAGAGCGAUUUGGCUGUGACAUCUGUCACCCCACUGAUAGCCAGGGUUGAUUGGGCUAAUAUGGCUGGCUAGGCGAGUGUCCCCUUCCUCCCCCACCACUCCAUGUGCAUCCCUCCCAAAGCUGAGCACUAGGUCGAAGAGGAUUACCUUCCCCGAAUAGAGGAGGACCAGUCUUCAUUCAAAGGUCUACGAGUAGCUGCACUCCCCUGCUAAAGGAAAUAUGGAAGGAAAUAAAAUUUACACCAGAAAAGUUGUAUUAGGAACAAAAGAAUAC